CAGCAUGGUCUUAGCUUGCUAAGGCCGAUGGCGACCGGCGCACGGGUGAGUAACACGUAUCCCCUUUGCCGUCUACUCUUGGACAGCCUUCUGAAAGGAAGAUUAAUACAAGAUGGCAUCAUGAGUCCGCAUGUUCACAUGAUUAAAGGUAUUCCGGUAGACGAUGGGGAUGCGUUCCAUUAGAUAGUAGGCGGGGUAACGGCCCACCUAGUCUUCGAUGGAUAGGGGUUCUGAGAGGAAGGUCCCCCACAUUGGAACUGAGACACGGUCCAAACUCCUACGGGAGGCAGCAGUGAGGAAUAUUGGUCAAUGGGCGAGAGCCUGAACCAGCCAAGUAGCGUGAAGGAUGACUGCCCUAUGGGUUGUAAACUUCUUUUAUAAAGGAAUAAAGUCGGGUAUGGAUACCCGUUUGCAUGUACUUUAUGAAUAAGGAUCGGCUAACUCCGUGCCAGCAGCCGCGGUAAUACGGAGGAUCCGAGCGUUAUCCGGAUUUAUUGGGUUUAAAGGGAGCGUAGAUGGAUGUUUAAGUCAGUUGUGAAAGUUUGCGGCUCAACCGUAAAAUUGCAGUUGAUACUGGAUAUCUUGAGUGCAGUUGAGGCAGGCGGAAUUCGUGGUGUAGCGGUGAAAUGCUUAGAUAUCACGAAGAACUCCGAUUG
This 656-nucleotide ribosomal RNA is filed under the name uncultured Bacteroides sp. RNAcentral's name for it is "bacterial SSU rRNA". It matches the Rfam family "Bacterial small subunit ribosomal RNA", at positions 67 to 715 of the family's 1533-position model. The record is from RNAcentral. Lineage: Bacteria; Pseudomonadati; Bacteroidota; Bacteroidia; Bacteroidales; Bacteroidaceae.